This 431-nucleotide ribosomal RNA is filed under the name uncultured bacterium. Its description in RNAcentral is "partial 16S ribosomal RNA". It matches the Rfam family "Bacterial small subunit ribosomal RNA", at positions 28 to 507 of the family's 1533-position model. The record is from RNAcentral.
AACGAACGCUGGCGGCAGGCCUAACACAUGCAAGUCGAGCGCACAGCCAGGGGAGUGGCGGCCGGGUGGGUAGCGCGUGGGAAUAGGCCCUUUGGUGCGGAAUAGUCUUGGGAAACUGGGGGUAAUACCGGACACGGGCUUUGGGGGAAAGAUGGAUCGUCGAAGGAUUAGCUCGCGUGGGAUUGGUGGGUUGGUAGGGUAAUGGCGUGGCAAGCCGACGGUGCAUAGCUGGUUUGAGAGGAUGAUCAGCCACACUGGGGCUGGGACACGGCCUAGACUCCUACGCAAGGGAGCAGUGGGUAAUCUUAGACAAUGGGGGCAGCCCUGAUCGAGCCAGGCCCGGUAAGUGAUGAAGGCCGUAGGGAUGCAAUGUUCUUUCAGCUGGGAAGAUAAUGACGGUACCGGCAGAAGAAGCCCCGGCUAACUCCGUG